GUCUACGGCCAUAUCACCCUGAACGCGCCCGAUCUCAUCUGAUCUCGGAAGCUAAGCAGGGUCGGGCCUGGUUAGUACUUGGAUGGGAGACCACCUGGGAAUACUGGGUGCUGUAGGCU
This 119-nucleotide ribosomal RNA is filed under the name Tupaia belangeri chinensis (Chinese tree shrew). The record is from RNAcentral. Lineage: Eukaryota; Metazoa; Chordata; Mammalia; Scandentia; Tupaiidae.